ACAUCCAGUAAAUUCUCAUAAAUCUGCAUCAGAACAGUGAAGGAACACCCUGAAAAAGGGGGCAGGAUCCCUGAGCUGCAGUAAAGGGUAUUAUACAUUGGACUGUAAAAUGCUGGACAUUCUCAACACCUCUAGGCAUGAGCAAAAGACAACACAGAGUAUGAUGAAGGGGUAGUGUAACUUAACCUUUGGAGCAGGGAGCAGAGACACGGUGUAUGGGUGUGUACAUCUCCAUCACCAGUGACUUCCAGGGCAGCAGCAGGACAGGGGGGAGACCUGACUGGGAGCUACGAGAAACCAGUGGCUAAAGGACACUGGGGCUGUACUCGCUGGUGGCUGGCAUCGCCACUUCAAACAGAAUUCCACAGCUUUUGGAGCCUGGAGCCGCUCUCUAGUCUGACAGCUGAGGGGAGCAGAGGCAUCACCCACGACCGGGCAGCACAGCCCCCUCAGGCGGGCUCAGGUUUACAUGCGCUCACAACAGCAAAAUUUUGAACAAAAACAGUAUGAAAGAAACGGGAGAGAAAAUUCUGAAGGAAGCAGGCCAUGAGCAGCACACCUCAGUGAUCCUGGGGGGACAGGCUGGAUGGAUCAUUCCCACGGAAAAGGCAGCAGUCGAUUUUCUAAAGAAAAGGAAAAAUAAAGUUAUGUUUGAGCUUUCUGUGUAA
This is a long non-coding RNA of Corapipo altera (White-ruffed manakin), 668 nucleotides long. RefSeq lists it as uncharacterized. The record is from RefSeq and is a predicted model, not a curated record. The transcript has 2 exons. Lineage: Eukaryota; Metazoa; Chordata; Aves; Passeriformes; Pipridae.